This 402-nucleotide ribosomal RNA is filed under the name Verrucomicrobiota bacterium. RNAcentral's name for it is "Verrucomicrobia bacterium partial 16S ribosomal RNA". It matches the Rfam family "Bacterial small subunit ribosomal RNA", at positions 355 to 776 of the family's 1533-position model. Lineage: Bacteria; Pseudomonadati; Verrucomicrobiota. The record is from RNAcentral.
UGGGGAAUUUUGCACAAUGGGGGAAACCCUGAUGCAGCGACGCCGCGUGAUUUAGAAGGCCUUCGGGUUGUAAAAAUCUUUUGUAUGGGAAGAAAAUGACAGUACCAUACGAAUAAGGACCGGCUAAUUUCGUGCCAGCAGCCGCGGUAAUAUGUAAGGUCCGAGCGUUGUCCGGAAUCAUUGGGCGUAAAGGGUACGUAGGCGGAUAAGCAAGUUAGAAGUGAAAUCCUAUAGCUCAACUAUAGUAAGCUUUUAAAACUGCUCAUCUUGAGGUAUGGAAGGGAAAGUGGAAUUCCUAGUGUAGCGGUGAAAUGCGCAGAUAUUAGGAGGAAUACCGGUGGCGAAGGCGACUUUCUGGCCAUAUACUGACGCUGAGGUACGAAAGCGUGGGUAGCAAACAGG